UUGGUUAAGUUAGAAAGGGCGCACGGUGGAUGCCUUGGCACUAGGAGCCGAAGAAGGACGGGACUAACACCGAUAUGCUUUGGGGAGCUGUACGUAAGCGUUGAUCCAGAGAUUUCCGAAUGGGGGAACCCACUAUCUUUAGUCGGAUAGUAUCCUUACGUGAAUACAUAGCGUGAGGAAGGCAGACCCAGGGAACUGAAACAUCUAAGUACCUGGAGGAAGAGAAAGAAAAAUCGAUUUCCUGAGUAGCGGCGAGCGAAAUGGAAAGAGCCCAAACCAAGAAGCUUGCUUCUUGGGGUUGUAGGACACUCUAUACGGAGUUACAAAAGAAAGUUAUAAAUGAAGCGGUCUGGAAAGGCCCGCCAAAGACGGUAACAGCCCGGUAGUUGAAAUAGCUUUCCCUCCAGAGUGGAUCCUGAGUACGGCGGAACACGUGAAAUUCCGUCGGAAUCCGGGAGGACCAUCUCCCAAGGCUAAAUACUCCCUAGUGACCGAUAGUGAACCAGUACCGUGAGGGAAAGGUGAAAAGCACCCCGGAAGGGGAGUGAAACAGUUCCUGAAACCGUGUGCCUACAAGUAGUUAGAGCCCGUUAAUGGGUGAUAGCGUGCCUUUUGUAGAAUGAACCGGCGAGUUACGAUUUGUUGCAAGGUUAAGCGGAAAAAGCGGAGCCGUAGCGAAAGCGAGUCUGAAUAGGGCGCAUAAGUAACAGGUCGUAGACCCGAAACCAGGUGAUCUACCCAUGUCCAGGAUGAAGGUAAGGUAAUACUUACUGGAGGUCCGAACCCACGCACGUUGAAAAGUGCGGGGAUGAGGUGUGGGUAGCGGAGAAAUUCCAAUCGAACUUGGAGAUAGCUGGUUCUCUCCGAAAUAGCUUUAGGGCUAGCCUCGAGGUAAAGAGUCAUGGAGGUAGAGCACUGUUUGGACUAGGGGCCCUUCUCGGGUUACCGAAUUCAGAUAAACUCCGAAUGCCAUGUACUUAUACUCGGGAGUCAGACUGCGAGUGAUAAGAUCCGUAGUCGAAAGGGAAACAGCCCAGACCACCAGUUAAGGUCCCUAAAUAUAUGUUAAGUGGAAAAGGAUGUGGGGUUGCUUAGACAACCAGGAUGUUGGCUUAGAAGCAGCCACCAUUGAAAGAGUGCGUAAUAGCUCACUGGUCGAGUGACCCCGCGCCGAAAAUGUACCGGGGCUAAACAUAUUACCGAAACUGUGGAUGAACCUCUNCGGAAGGACUGGUGGAGCGCUUAGAAGUGAGAAUGCCGGUAUGAGUAGCGAAAGAAGGGUGAGAAUCCCUUCCACCGAAUAUCUAAGGUUUCCUGAGGAAGGCUCGUCCGCUCAGGGUUAGUCGGGACCUAAGCCGAGGCCGAUAGGCGUAGGCGAUGGACAACAGGUAGAGAUUCCUGUACCAGUGCUAAUUGUUUAACCAAUGGGGUGACACAGAAGGAUAGGGAAUCGCACGAAUGGAAAUGUGCGUCCAAGCAGUGAGUGUGAGAAGUAGGCAAAUCCGCUUCUCGCGAAGCAUGAGCUGUGAUGGGGAAGGAAAUUAAGUACGGAAGUUCCUGAUUUCACGCUGUCAAGAAAAGCCUCUAGGAAGAGUAGUACUGCCCGUACCGCAAACCGACACAGGUAGAUGAGGAGAGAAUCCUAAGGUGAGCGAGAGAACUCUCGUUAAGGAACUCGGCAAAAUGACCCCGUAACUUCGGGAGAAGGGGUGCUCUAUUAGGGUGCAAGCCCGAGAGAGCCGCAGUGAAUAGGCCCAGGCGACUGUUUAGCAAAAACACAGGUCUCUGCAAAACCGUAAGGUGACGUAUAGGGGCUGACGCCUGCCCGGUGCUGGAAGGUUAAGAGGAGUGCUUAGCUUCGGCGAAGGUACGAAUUGAAGCCCCAGUAAACGGCGGCCGUAACUAUAACGGUCCUAAGGUAGCGAAAUUCCUUGUCGGGUAAGUUCCGACCCGCACGAAAGGCGCAACGAUCUGGGCACUGUCUCAACGAGAGACUCGGUGAAAUUAUAGUACCUGUGAAGAUGCAGGUUACCCGCGACAGGACGGAAAGACCCCGUGGAGCUUUACUGCAACCUGAUAUGGAAUGUUUGUACCGCUUGUACAGGAUAGGUAGGAGCCGAAGAGACGUGUGCGCUAGCAUACGAGGAGGCAAUGGUGGGAUACUCCCCUGGCUGUAUGACCAUUCUAACCCGCCACGCUUAGCGCGUGGGGAGACAGUGUCAGGUGGGCAGUUUGACUGGGGCGGUCGCCUCCUAAAGAGNGGAGGCGCCCAAAGGUUCCCUCAGAAUGGAUGGAAAUCAUUCGCAGAGUGUAAAGGCACAAGGGAGCUUGACUGCGAGACUGACAAGUCGAGCAGGGACGAAAGUCGGGCUUAGUGAUCCGGUGGUUCCGCAUGGAAGGGCCAUCGCUCAACGGAUAAAAGCUACCCCGGGGAUAACAGGCUUAUCUCCCCCAAGAGUCCACAUCGACGGGGAGGUUUGGCACCUCGAUGUCGGCUCGUCGCAUCCUGGGGCUGUAGUCGGUCCCAAGGGGUGGGCUGUUCGCCCAUUAAAGCGGCACGCGAGCUGGGUUCAGAACGUCGUGAGACAGUUCGGUCCCUAUCCGUCGCGGGCGCAGGAAAUUUGAGAGGAGCUGUCCUUAGUACGAGAGGACCGGGAUGGACACACCGCUGGUGUACCAGUUGUUCCGCCAGGAGCAUCGCUGGGUAGCUAUGUGUGGCAGGGAUAAACGCUGAAAGCAUCUAAGCGUGAAGCCCCCCUCAAGAUGAGAUUUCCCAUUUCUUCGGAAAGUAAGAUCCCUGAAAGAUGAUCAGGUAGAUAGGUUUGGAGUGGAAGUGUAGCGAUACAUGGAGCGGACAAAUACUAAUCGAUCGAGGACUUAACCAAAA
RNAcentral lists this ribosomal RNA (2887 nucleotides) under Listeria monocytogenes. Its description in RNAcentral is "bacterial LSU rRNA". It matches the Rfam family "Bacterial large subunit ribosomal RNA". The record is from RNAcentral. Lineage: Bacteria; Bacillati; Bacillota; Bacilli; Caryophanales; Listeriaceae.